CACACGACCGUACCGCAAACCGACACUGGUGCGCGAGAUGAGUAUUCUAAGGCGCUUGAGAGAACUCAGGAGAAGGAACUCGGCAAAUUGACACCGUAACUUCGGAAGAAGGUGUGCCUUUAGUAGGUGAAGUCCCUCGCGGAUGGAGCCCAAUGAGGUUGCAAAGAAUCGGUGGCUGCGACUGUUUAUUAAAAACACAGCACUCUGCAAACACGAAAGUGGACGUAUAGGGUGUGACGCCUGCCCGGUGCUGGAAGAUUAAAUGAUGGGGUGCAAGCUCUUGAUUGAAGUCCCAGUAAACGGCGGCCGUAACGAUAACGGUCCUAAGGUAGCGAAAUUCCUUGUCGGGUAAGUUCCGACCUGCACGAAUGGCGUAACGAUGGCCACACUGUCUCCUCCUGAGACUCAGCGAAGUUGAAAUGUUUGUGAUGAUGCAAUCUCCCCGCGGAAAGACGGAAAGACCCCAUGAACCUUUACUGUAGCUUUGUAUUGGACUUUGAACAGAUCUGUGUAGGAUAGGUGGGAGGCUUUGAAGCAGGGUCGCUAGAUCUUGUGGAGCCAACGUUGAAAUACCACCCUGGUGUGUUUGAGGUUCUAACCUAGGCCCGUAAUCCGGGUUGGGGACAGUGCAUGGUAGGCAGUUUGACUGGGGCGGUCUCCUCCCAAAGUGUAACGGAGGAGUUCGAAGGUACGCUAGUUACGGUCGGACAUCGUGACGAUAGUGCAAUGGCAUAAGCGUGCUUAACUGCGAGACUGACAAGUCGAGCAGAUGCGAAAGCAGGACAUAGUGAUCCGGUGGUUCUGUAUGGAAGGGCCAUCGCUCAACGCAUAAAAGGUACUCUGGGGAUAACAGGCUGAUACCGCCCAAGAGUUCAUAUCGACGGCGGUGUUUGGCACCUCGAUGUCGGCUCAUCUCAUCCUGGGGCUGUAGCCGGUCCCAAGGGUAUGGCUGUUCGCCAUUUAAAGAGGUACGUGAGCUGGGUUUAAAACGUCGUGAGACAGUUUGGUCCCUAUCUUCCGUGGGCGCUGCAGAUUUGAGGAAGCCUGCUCCUAGUACGAGAGGACCGGAGUGGACGCACCUCUGGUGUAUCGGUUGUCACGCCAGUGGCAUUGCCGAGUAGCUAUGUGCGGAAGAGAUAACCGCUGAAAGCAUCUAAGCGGGAAACUCGUUUCAAGAUGAGAUCUGCCGGGGCCUUGAGCCCCCUGAAGAGUCGUUCAAGACCAGGACGUUGAUAGGUCGGGUGUGGAAGCGCAGUAAUGCGUUAAGCUAACCGAUACUAAUUGCUCGUGCGGCUUGACCCC
Molecule: ribosomal RNA, 1302 nt
Filed under: metagenome
Description: bacterial LSU rRNA
Rfam family: Bacterial large subunit ribosomal RNA
Source: RNAcentral